UACGUAGGGGGCAAGCGUUGUCCGGAAUCAUUGGGCGUAAAGAGCGUGUAGGCGGCCCGAUAAGUCCGCUGUGAAAGUCCAGGGCUCAACCCUGGAAUGCCGGUGGAUACUGUCGGGCUCGAAUCCGGAAGAGGUGAGUGGAAUUCCUGGUGUAGCGGUGAAAUGCGCAGAUAUCAGGAGGAACACCAAUGGCGAAGGCAGCUCACUGGGACGGUAUUGACGCUGAGGUGCGAAAGCGUGGGGAGCAAACAGG
Molecule: ribosomal RNA, 253 nt
Filed under: uncultured bacterium
Lineage: Bacteria
Description: partial 16S ribosomal RNA
Rfam family: Bacterial small subunit ribosomal RNA
Source: RNAcentral